GACCGCCGCCGUGUCCGCACGUCGGCCAAGGCCAUACGGACAGCCGGGUCGAAUGCCG
This 58-nucleotide small RNA is filed under the name human gut metagenome. RNAcentral describes it as "Streptococcus sRNA SpF59 (ldcC RNA)". It matches the Rfam family "Streptococcus sRNA SpF59 (ldcC RNA)". The record is from RNAcentral.